GCGAAAGCACCUCAAGACGACGGAUCCGACAGUGAGGGACGAAAGCUAGGGUCUCGAACCGGAUUAGAUACCCGGGUAGUCCUAGCCGUAAACGAUGUUCGCUAGAUGUGGCACAGGCUACGUGCCUGUGCUGUGUCGUAGGGAAGCCGAGAAGCGAACCGCCUGGGAAGUACGUCCGCAAGGAUGAAACUUAAAGGAAUUGGCGGGGGAGCACUACAACCGGAGGAGCCUGCGGUUUAAUUGGACUCAACGCCGGACAUCUCACCAGCUCCGACUACAGUGAUGACGAUCAGGUUGACGACCUCGUCACGAUGCUGUAGAGAGGAGGUGCAUGGCCGCCGUCAGCUCGUACCGUGAGGCGUCCUGUUAAGUCAGGCAACGAGCGAGACCCGCGCACCUACUUGCCAGCAGCAGUUUCGACUGGCUGGGUACAGUAUGUGGACUGCCAGGGGCAACCUGGAGGAAGGAACGGGCAACGGUAGGUCAGUAUGCCCCGAAUGAGCUGGGCGACACGCGGGCUACAAUGGUCGAGACAAUGGGUUGCCACCUCGAAAGAGGGCGCUAAUC
RNAcentral lists this ribosomal RNA (567 nucleotides) under Natronomonas sp. RNAcentral's name for it is "bacterial SSU rRNA". It matches the Rfam family "Archaeal small subunit ribosomal RNA", at positions 666 to 1229 of the family's 1478-position model. Lineage: Archaea; Methanobacteriati; Methanobacteriota; Halobacteria; Halobacteriales; Natronomonadaceae. The record is from RNAcentral.